Molecule: long non-coding RNA, 1047 nt
Filed under: Corvus moneduloides (New Caledonian crow)
Lineage: Eukaryota; Metazoa; Chordata; Aves; Passeriformes; Corvidae
Description: lncRNA (ENSCMUG00000017191.1)
Source: RNAcentral
AUGGCCAGGCCGUGCUGCGUGUGCUCAGGGCUGUGCCUAAACUUUGCCAUCAAUUCUUUCUUUUGGAGGGGAGCAGGACAUUGCCACCUCCUCAGCAGCUGCCAGUGUGGCAUGCUCCUGAGCCCGCUGCUGUCUCCCAGCACUGCUAUUCCCCCCGUGCUGCAGAGACGAGGAUCCACCUGGAGAGAGCCGUCGUGGGAGCGAGAGCCGGCCCCAGGUGCUGUUCCAGCCCCUCCUGAAAGGGUGCUCCCCGCAGACCAUCUGGUGCAGCACGAUGCCCAGGGACCAGACAGUCGCUGCCUCGCCGUGGUACCAGCCGAGGUGCGUCCAUUCCGGGGGGCUGUAGGACGGUGUUCCUAUGGAAUAGAGAUGGAGUUCUUCAGGGGGACGCUGCCUGCUCCCAGAGCCUCGCCCCAGCAUCCCUGGGCCUGCGGGGGCCGCACCCGCUGCCCUCUCGCCAGCACCGGGGACUUGCGUACAAACUGGGGGUUGGAAAAGAAGCCGCUGGUGUCGCAAGAGGGCAGCGGAAGCCCUGGCAAGGCCCGAGCAUUCCAUGCAAAGGAAAAACCCACUCCGUGCUGGGGAAAAACCACGCUUUCAUCCUCCCUGCCUGCACUGCCCCAGAAACCAUUCUUAAGCCAAGGCAAGCACGGGCAGCAGAGCAGUCCGAGCCCUGUCUCGCCUGCACACCAAACGGGCUGGAGCACAGGUUCUGGCCCCCCCUCUCUGCUACCCCCACCCACGGGUGUUUCUGCGGCGCUGGCUGCCCCAGCCCCAGCGCCAGUCCUGGGCAGAGUGGCUGGCAAAGGCUGCCAGCAGGGCUGGAAGAUGGCCCCUCAGCCAGCGCCGCUCAAAAGCAGCUCAGCUGAAGACUCCGGCUGCCAUGACUGGCAGCAAAAGGGACAAUCCCCCGGGCCACAGCCGGCUUGGGCUGUGAGCUGUUGGGCUCUGAGAUGCCGCUACCAGGAGCCUCCCCCUGCGUGGGCUCACCUGCAAAGCUGGUGUAGGCUGCGGCUUGCAGGUAGGUGCCACAGCCAAAGUCGAUGA